GUAGAAAGGCUAAGGACGGUCACAGCCCAGGGUGGUAAGAGCUGGCACAAAUGGAAACACAGGGAGCCUAGGUGGGCAGAGGAGAGCCCUAGGCUCGGUCAGGUUAAGAGGGGGAUGCUAAGAAGAAGUAACAGAUGUUUUGAGUUUUGAAGGAUGACUACGAGUUAGGCAGGUAAAUGAGUUGGGAAGAGAAAACAGCAUUUGCAAAGGCCUUGGAAUGUGAGAGGCCAUGGAGCAUGCUGAGGCAGUAGCAGGGUCAACAGAGUGGCUAAGGUGCAUGGGAGGCCUGCGCCAGCCUGCCAAGGGCCUUAUGCUCUAUGUUGACAAGGUCAAACUUGAUCCUGACGGUGGUGGCUGGUAAGCCUCUGCGUGGUUUUAUGCAAGAGAGUGAUCAGUCUAUAAGUGAUUACCUGAGGGUCCCCUGAACAAGCUGAGCAGCUCUCAGGGAUGCUUUCCUUUAUUCACUGCUCCUGAGACAACAGCAACGUAAAAGCCUCAUUAGCAGGCAGGUCUCCAACUAACAAAUACUGCAGACAUUUGCAGAGAAGUGCUAUCAUCUUCUUUCUGAUGGGGACACAGAAACUCCGGGCUCCAUCCCAAGUUGUGGUACUAGGAAAUACAGCAAUGACUGACAGAAAUGGUAUGUGUAUACCCAGCCCCCAGCCCCAUGACGGGAUAACUCUGAGAUGGUUCUGCGCUGGCUCUGGAGAUCCCCAUCAGGAUUAAAGCCCAGAUGCCCCUGCUGGACAUCUGCUUGAUGGUACACUUCCCCGGCUAAUUUCCCUACCUUUUGCUAGUGCUUCCUGGGGUCCACUUUCAAAUAAAC
RNAcentral lists this long non-coding RNA (826 nucleotides) under Homo sapiens (human). RNAcentral's name for it is "HSALNT0061235". The record is from RNAcentral. Lineage: Eukaryota; Metazoa; Chordata; Mammalia; Primates; Hominidae.